AUAGUAUUAAAUAGUAUUAAGUGUGAACAUACUGUUAUGUUAUGGAUUGUAUUUUAGUGUGUACUUUCGAUUACAUUGUGUCCUCGAUUGUCGACACUCAACGAAUGUAAAUCAUUGAAGAGAAGACGCUAAGCACUAAAAAGGGCCCUAAAUCUUUAAUUAAAAAGAAAUAAUUCACACAGUGGUAGAAACACCCUUAGAUUACAUUUGGAAAAGUGGGCGUGCCACAAAAAAAAUCAAAUCACUAAAGACCACUCAAAGGGCCAAACUCUCCGUGUGUCGAGUGACACUACAAAGCCAAGAGCUAGAGAUGUACCAGGUCAACUUUUCUCACCAAUCACACUGCACGAUCACACCACCGCUGAAGUCUGACUGUUAAAGGAGUUCGUGCUGUAGCAGCUAGCUUUUUUUUGUCAAACAUAUCCGUUUUUAAAUUCGAACUUCCUAAACAUGGCACUACCACCAGCAAAGAGAACCACGGAAAGAACGUCCACUUAGUUAAAUUCUCCACCAGAUGGGCUACGAAAAAAUGGCAGAAGUUUACUGAGCAAACUGACUAUUUAACAAGAAAGGAAGUUAGCUUCGGCAAGCAGAAGUUGGUAUACCCUUGCAGUUAUAAGAAAUAAUCAACGUUUGUAACGUUUUAAAGAUUGUUGCUCCGACCGAUAGGACAGUCUUCGCAUUCUUCGGAGCAGGUUCGCCGGGUGAAGUCCACUGCUUCGACUGUUCCUUGGUCUCUGGUGUGUACCAGUGGAUCCAUGUUUCGUCGACGGUCGCGAAACGACCUAGAAACUCCAUCGGAUUGCGCUUAAACAAAUGGUCUCACGGUUGCGUUUGUUGUCCAAAGUGAGCAAACGUGGCACCCAUCGCGCCGACAGCACUCUCAUGCCAAAAAUUUAAUGCAGGAUAUGCCCCACGCAGCCUUUUGACAUGCCUACUAUCUCAGCUAUAUUGAGUAUCUAAAAUCAGCAGUCUGCCAAGAAAAAAUCAUGGAUUUUUAUCACAUUAUCCUCUGUGGUAGCCGAUUUCCGGGUGGCGCAUCAAAAACCGACGUGCGACCACGUUGAAACUCAUUAAACCAAUUUUUGACGGUCGCCAUCAAAGGAGUAGAGUCACCGUACACAGCAUCCAAUCGUUUUUUUUUUAUUUCGGGGUGCGAUUUCCCUUCCAAAAACAAGAAUCAAAUCACAGACCGAUAUUGCUUUUUCUCAAUUUUUCUAAAACCCGCGAAACCUGCGAUUUCACACGCAGUCAAAACAAAACAGUCCAAUUCGGCUGAAAUUUCGACAGUAGCCGUCUACGAUAGUGACGCUAUCGGGCGGUGAGGCUAAGUACUUAUCGGACUGCCUUCGAAUAUCGUAUAUAUUGACAUGCAAUAGUCAAGCUGACUUGGAAGGUUGUGAUUUAAUUAAGCAUAUUCUUCGCGGAUUAAACGACACAAGUGGCUUUACUACGUCACUUUAUUUUAGCGAAAGUCUUGAUCAAUUGAUUCGCCGUUUAAUAGAUCUAUUUAUCACUGCCAAAUUCUUACUCUGGUCGUAGUAUUUGCCACAAUUGUCGCCGGGCUUAUGAUAAUGAAUUGCAACAAGCCCAUACGUCCACUCAAUAGUUGCUUUACAGUUGAAAGCGUGGAUCAUCGAUUCCGUAACUGCCCGAAGCGUGUGACGGGAAGACUGCAGCAGACAGUGGCGACUGUGGCAGAUCAACAAGCUGUUGCUGAUAUAAUUGAGUAUUGUGCCCGCUGAUCCCCCAGGAGCUCUAAAUACUGUGAUUGAACAUUUUUUUGAUGCCACGGAGAACGCUUUAAUAUUAACUGGAAAAUGGGCGUUUGAUGACAGUACUGGGCAAACUUAUUUGUGAAAAUAAC
Long non-coding RNA from Drosophila biarmipes, 1867 nucleotides. RefSeq lists it as uncharacterized. Lineage: Eukaryota; Metazoa; Arthropoda; Insecta; Diptera; Drosophilidae. The transcript is spliced from 4 exons. The record is from RefSeq and is a predicted model, not a curated record.